This 118-nucleotide ribosomal RNA is filed under the name Petromyzon marinus (sea lamprey). Lineage: Eukaryota; Metazoa; Chordata; Hyperoartia; Petromyzontiformes; Petromyzontidae. The record is from RNAcentral.
AAUGAUGACCAAUCACCCUGAAUUUACCCAAUCUCGUUCGACCUCUCAAGAUAAGCAGAGUCCAGCCUGGUUAGUACUUGGAUAGGUCACCGGCAGAGCUUGCGAGGUGUUGUAGGAG